UUGGAGGAAAGCAGGGGAUCGCAAGACCUUGCGCUUUUGGAGUGGCCGAUGCCUGAUUAGCUAGUUGGUAGGGUAAUGGCUUACCAAGGCGACGAUCAGUAGUUGGUCUGAGAGGACGACCAGCCACACUGGGACUGAGACACGGCCCAGACUCCUACGGGAGACAGCAGUGGGGAAUUUUGGACAAUGGGCGAAAGCCUGAUCCAGCAAUGCCGCGUGAGUGAAGAAGGCCUUCGGGUUGUAAAGCUCUUUCAGUCGAGAAGAGAAGGUUGUGACUAAUAAUCACAACUCAUGACGGUAUCGACAGAAGAAGCACCGGCUAACUACGUGCCAGCAGCCGCGGUAGUACGUAGGGUGCGAGCGUUAAUCGGAAUUACUGGGCGUAAAGGGUGCGCAGGCGGCUUUGUAAGUCAGAUGUGA
RNAcentral lists this ribosomal RNA (420 nucleotides) under uncultured ammonia-oxidizing beta proteobacterium. Its description in RNAcentral is "bacterial SSU rRNA". It matches the Rfam family "Bacterial small subunit ribosomal RNA", at positions 196 to 597 of the family's 1533-position model. The record is from RNAcentral. Lineage: Bacteria; Pseudomonadati; Pseudomonadota; Betaproteobacteria.